CUUCGAGACUCUCCUUCCCUAUUCGUCUCCCCUCCCCCAGCGCAGGAAAAAGGCUACGGUUCCGGAGCGCCCUGACCGCCUCCUCCCGGGCCGGCGAACCUGCUGGAACCCCGCUGGAGAGAUCAGGCGGGGGUUCGCACCCCACCCCAGCGAGAGCGCCCCGAAACCGACCCGGGCCAGGGCUCUGCUGGGGCUAGGCUCCGGGGAGCUCUCCCAAGGCAGGCGGCAGCUCCUGCUUCCGAGGCUUCGGGUGGGGUCCACCUCCCUCAGCCAGGAAGGGGGCGAUUGAUCCAUCUGUCGAUGGGCUGGGCUCACCGGCGUGUUUUAGUCACGGAAUUUACAAUAAAUGCCCAGAAGCACCAAAAAGGAAGCGUCCGACUGAGAAAGGGCUGAAAGAGCAACAGUGUGAGGAAACCAUGAGAACUGGAAUUUCUUCUCCUUCCUGUGGGUUUGUUUGACCGACUCCUCAGAGUGCAAGUCUACAUCCUAGGAAGGAUCCCACCCAGAGGGCGCGGCUGAUGGUGCCCGGCUCGCGGUGGGCUUUCCCAGCCCUGCUCCAGCCUGUCUCCCUCCUAAUGGCAGGCUGACCCCAUCACCAACACUCGAGAAUCAGCAGAGGUUCCCAGCUACCAGGGCCUGAUGAAUGAGUAAGAUCCUAAAUGAAAGCCAGGCUUCUCCAAGCCCUGCCAGCUGUUCCUGCCCUGCUCACCCCCCAGCGUGAUCCGCACACCCACGCCCGUGCACACGUGAGGCAGCUCCCGGACUACACUCAGAGGACCCUGCCCCAUCUAACAGGACACGUCAUCCAGCACAAGGACGCCCACAGUCAACAUCCCUGAUUCUUCUGCAUCUUUUCUUCUUUUUGCCUUAUUCAGAAUCACUGUCUUUUCUCUCCAGUACCUCCACCCCUCCCAGGGAGGUAAUAGAUGUCUUCAUAGCUCUGUCAUUGUGACUGUGGCUGAGUAGCCAUAUGAUCACCAGGAGAGGGGAGCCAGACGCACAGGAAGGUGCCAGGUGGGCUCUGACCCACACUGCAAACGCACUUCCAUCUGUCGGCCACGGCCCUCCCUGCCUUGGGAGUCGGUGGAGCGUUGAC
This 1096-nucleotide long non-coding RNA is filed under the name Equus caballus (horse). Its description in RNAcentral is "lncRNA (ENSECAG00000051585.1)". Lineage: Eukaryota; Metazoa; Chordata; Mammalia; Perissodactyla; Equidae. The record is from RNAcentral.